This 405-nucleotide long non-coding RNA is filed under the name Pan troglodytes (chimpanzee). Its description in RNAcentral is "long non-coding RNA NONPTRT012303". Lineage: Eukaryota; Metazoa; Chordata; Mammalia; Primates; Hominidae. The record is from RNAcentral.
GAGGCCUAAACACUUGUGUGCAGAAGACAUUUUCUUUCUCUUCUGAGUAACUGAAAUAAAAUCUGGCCUUUGUGAAACCCUGGAAAUACCACGACCCUCAACUAGAAACACCAAUACCAGCUCCUCCGCGAGUUUCCAGCUCCACAACCUAAGACAUCAGAGGCAGCAUUGGUUCCUCACGUAGAGUCCAGCUCCGGGACCCUCAUAUUUGAACCGCAGGACCAUCUCAUCCCUGGAUCUCCAGCUGCACAACACUCAAAUUAGAAUAACAUCAGUUCCUCCCCAGGUCUCCACCUGCACGGCCCUCGAACGGGAACGUCAGCUCCUCCCCGGGUCUCCAGCUGUAGGGCCCUAAAACUAGAACAUCAGCUCCCGCCUGGGUCGCCAGCAGCACCACCCUCAAAC